UACGAAGGGGACUAGCGUUGUUCGGAAUUACUGGGCGUAAAGCGCACGUAGGCGGCUUUGUUAGUCAGGGGUGAAAUCCCGGGGCUCAACCUCGGAACUGCCUUUGAUACUGCAAGUCUCGAGUCCGAUAGAGGUGGGUGGAAUUCCUAGUGUAGAGGUGAAAUUCGUAGAUAUUAGGAGGAACACCGGUGGCGAAGGCGGCCCACUGGAUCGGUACUGACGCUGAGGUGCGAAAGCGUGGGGAGCAAACAGG
This 253-nucleotide ribosomal RNA is filed under the name uncultured bacterium. Its description in RNAcentral is "partial 16S ribosomal RNA". It matches the Rfam family "Bacterial small subunit ribosomal RNA", at positions 524 to 776 of the family's 1533-position model. The record is from RNAcentral.